This 435-nucleotide ribosomal RNA is filed under the name uncultured prokaryote. Its description in RNAcentral is "bacterial SSU rRNA". It matches the Rfam family "Bacterial small subunit ribosomal RNA", at positions 355 to 796 of the family's 1533-position model. The record is from RNAcentral.
UCGAGAAUCUUCCGCAAUGGGCGAAAGCCUGACGGAGCGACACCGCGUGUAGGAUGAAGGCCCUAGGGUUGUAAACUACUGUCACGUUCUAGGAAUAGCGCGUAUGCGUUUGACCAAAACGAGAGGAAGCACCGGCUAACUCCGUGCCAGCAGCCGCGGUAAGACGGAGGGUGCAAACGUUGCUCGGAAUCACUGGGCAUAAAGCGCACGUAGGCGGUCCGUUAAGUCGGAUGUGAAAGCCCUCGGCUCAACCGAGGAAUUGCAUCCGAUACUGGCGGACUCGAGGAUGGUUGGGGUGAGUGGAACUCCAGGUGGAGCGGUGAAAUGCGUUGAUAUCUGGAGGAACACCAGUGGCGAAGGCGGCUCACUGGACCAUUCCUGACGCUGAGGUGCGAAAGCCAGGGGAGCGAACGGGAUUAGAUACCCCCGUAGUCC